AUUGAACGCUGGCGGCAUGCUUUACACAUGCAAGUCGAGCGGUAACAGGCCUUCGGGUGCUGACGAGUGGCGAACGGGUGAGUAAUGCAUCGGAACGUACCCAGAGGUGGGGGAUAACGCAGCGAAAGCUGUGCUAAUACCGCAUGUGAUCUGAGGAUGAAAGCGGGGGACCGAGCAGCAAUGUUUGGCCUCGCGCCUUUGGAGCGGCCGAUGUCGGAUUAGCUAGUUGGUGGGGUAAAGGCCUACCAAGGCGACGAUCCGUAGCUGGUCUGAGAGGACGACCCGCCACACUGUGACUGAGACACGGCCCAGACUCCUACGGGAGGCAGCAGUGGGGAAUUUUGGACAAUGGGCGCAAGCCUGAUCCAGCACUGCCGCGUGCGGGAAGAAGGCCUUCGGGUUGUAAACCGCUUUUGGCAGGAACGAAACGGUGUCCGCUAAUACCGGGCGCUAAUGACGGUACCUGCAGAAUAAGCACCGGCUAACUACGUG
This 492-nucleotide ribosomal RNA is filed under the name uncultured bacterium. Its description in RNAcentral is "partial 16S ribosomal RNA". It matches the Rfam family "Bacterial small subunit ribosomal RNA", at positions 30 to 507 of the family's 1533-position model. The record is from RNAcentral.